CCUACGGGUGGCUGCAGUGGGGAAUAUUGCACAAUGGGCGCAAGCCUGAUGCAGCCAUGCCGCGUGUGUGAAGAAGGCCUUCGGGUUGUAAAGCACUUUCAGCGGGGAGGAAGGCGUUAAGGUUAAUAACCUUGUCGAUUGACGUUACCCGCAGAAGAAGCACCGGCUAACUCCGUGCCAGCAGCCGCGGUAAUACGGAGGGUGCAAGCGUUAAUCGGAAUUACUGGGCGUAAAGCGCACGCAGGCGGUCUGUCAAGUCGGAUGUGAAAUCCCCGGGCUCAACCUGGGAACUGCAUUCGAAACUGGCAGGCUAGAGUCUUGUAGAGGGGGGUAGAAUUCCAGGUGUAGCGGUGAAAUGCGUAGAGAUCUGGAGGAAUACCGGUGGCGAAGGCGGCCCCCUGGACAAAGGCUGACGCUCAGGUGCGAAAGCGUGGGGAGCAAACAGGAUUAGAUACCCGGGUAGUC
RNAcentral lists this ribosomal RNA (465 nucleotides) under uncultured Klebsiella sp. RNAcentral describes it as "bacterial SSU rRNA". It matches the Rfam family "Bacterial small subunit ribosomal RNA", at positions 338 to 795 of the family's 1533-position model. The record is from RNAcentral. Lineage: Bacteria; Pseudomonadati; Pseudomonadota; Gammaproteobacteria; Enterobacterales; Enterobacteriaceae.